GGAUAGAUUAUAGAUGCUGGAAUGCCCUGUAAUCCAAAGCUAUUGUGCCUAAGGAUGGGUCUGCGGUCUAUCAGGUUGUAGUGGGUGUAAUGUACCUACUAGCCUACGACGGAUACGGGUUGUGGGAGCAAGAGCCCGGAGAUGGAUUCUGAGACAUGAAUCCAGGCCCUACGGGGCGCAGCAGGCGCGAAAACUUUACAAUGCGGGAAACCGCGAUAAGGGGACACCGAGUGCCAGCAUCCUAUGUUGGCUGUCCAUAUGUAUAAAUCACAUGUGUUAGCAAGGGCCGGGCAAGACCGGUGCCAGCCGCCGCGGUAACACCGGCGGCCCGAGUGGUGGCCACUAUUAUUGGGUCUAAAGGGUCCGUAGCCGGUUUGGUCAGUCUUCCGGGAAAUCUGACGGCUCAACCGUUAGGCUUUCGGGGGAUACUACCAGGCUUGGGACCGGGAGAGGUAAGAGGUACUACGGGGGUAGGAGUGAAAUCUUGUAAUCCCUGUGGGACCACCAGUGGCGAAGGCGUCUUACCAGAACGGGUCCGACGGUGAGGGACGAAAGCUGGGGGCACGAACCGGAUUAGAUACCCGGGUAGUCCCAGCUGUAAACUAUGCUCGCUAGGUGUCAGGGACGGUGCGACCGUUUCUGGUGCCGCAGGGAAGCCGUGAAGCGAGCCACCUGGGAAGUACGGUCGCAAGGCUGAAACUUAAAGGAAUUGGCGGGGGAGCACUACAACGGGUGGAGCCUGCGGUUUAAUUGGAUUCAACGCCGGGAAGGGC
RNAcentral lists this ribosomal RNA (773 nucleotides) under uncultured archaeon. RNAcentral's name for it is "bacterial SSU rRNA". It matches the Rfam family "Archaeal small subunit ribosomal RNA", at positions 154 to 928 of the family's 1478-position model. The record is from RNAcentral.